RNAcentral lists this ribosomal RNA (235 nucleotides) under uncultured bacterium. Its description in RNAcentral is "partial 16S ribosomal RNA". It matches the Rfam family "Bacterial small subunit ribosomal RNA", at positions 28 to 261 of the family's 1533-position model. The record is from RNAcentral.
GACGAACGCUGGCGGCGUGCUUAACACAUGCAAGUCGAGCGGUAAGGCCCUUUCGGGGGUACGACGAGCGGCGAACGGGUGAGUAACACGUGGGUGACCUGCCCUCAGCUCUGGGAUAAGCCGUGGGAAACCGGGUCUAAUACUGGAUAUGACUCCAUGACGCAUGUUGUGGGGUGGAAAGCCUUGUGCGGCUGAGGAGUGGGCCCGCGGCCUAUCAGCUUGUUGGUGGGGGGAU